RNAcentral lists this transfer RNA (73 nucleotides) under Protosiphon botryoides. Its description in RNAcentral is "tRNA-Thr". It matches the Rfam family "tRNA". From Rfam's summary of the family: Transfer RNA (tRNA) molecules are approximately 80 nucleotides in length. Their secondary structure includes four short double-helical elements and three loops (D, anti-codon, and T loops). The record is from RNAcentral. Lineage: Eukaryota; Viridiplantae; Chlorophyta; Chlorophyceae; Chlamydomonadales; Protosiphonaceae.
GCCCGCUUAACUCAAUCGGCAGAGUAUCGGUUUUGUAAACCGAAAGUUCUCGGUUCAAAUCCGAGAGUGGGCU